UGAAAUUCUUGAAUCAAAUUCUUUUUUCUUCUGUCACUUUCUGGCUCUUUCUUCUAUUCCCUUCUUUACUUUCUUAUUUCCAGCAUUUCAAGGAACCUGUUCUUGAAAUUCUUGAAAAUUUUCUUCCUCUCUCUCGUUCUUCUCUCUUGCAAGCUGCCUUAUUCUCUUUUCCCCUUUCAAAUUCUUCUCAAUUUCCCUAUUUUCAAUUUCUGCCUUGUUAGGGUUUCCAAAUCAAGACCUUUUUAUCAAAUUCAAGAAACAUAUGAAAUAACCAAAAAAAAAUAUCUUUCUUUCCUCUCCAUCUUUCUUCCUUCUCUACAAAAUAUUUUCUUUCUUUCUGUAAUUUCUUCUCUAACUCCGCUUAAGUAGUUUGUGCUUAGCCAGUCUCAAGCCCGAAUAGAGGAGGAGGGUUGUGGUAGGUGAC
Molecule: unclassified non-coding RNA, 424 nt
Filed under: Hevea brasiliensis (rubber tree)
Lineage: Eukaryota; Viridiplantae; Streptophyta; Magnoliopsida; Malpighiales; Euphorbiaceae
Source: RNAcentral